RNAcentral lists this ribosomal RNA (447 nucleotides) under uncultured bacterium. Its description in RNAcentral is "bacterial SSU rRNA". It matches the Rfam family "Bacterial small subunit ribosomal RNA", at positions 355 to 825 of the family's 1533-position model. The record is from RNAcentral.
UGGGGAAUAUUGGACAAUGGGCGAAAGCCUGACACAGCAACGCCGCGUGAAGGAUGAAGUCCCUCGGGAUGUAAACUUCGUAAGAAUAGGAAGAAUAAAUGACGGUACUAUUUGUAAGGUCCGGCUAACUACGUGCCAGCAGCCGCGGUAAUACGUAGGGACCAAGCGUUGUUCGGAUUUACUGGGCGUAAAGGGUGCGUAGGCGGCAUAUCAAGUCACUUGUGAAAUCUCCGGGCUUAACUCGGAACUGCCAAGUGAUACUGAUGUGCUAGAGUGCAGAAAGGGCAACUGGAAUUCUUGGUGUAGCGGUGAAAUGCGUAGAUAUCAAGAGGAACACCUGAGGCGAAGGCGAGUUGCUAGGCUGACACUGACGCUGAGGUACGAAAGCUAGGGGAGCGAACGGGAUUAGAUACCCCUGUAGUCCCUGAGCGGGCUGGCAAGGCGCAU